Molecule: non-coding RNA, 86 nt
Organism: Thiorhodospira sibirica ATCC 700588
Lineage: Bacteria; Pseudomonadati; Pseudomonadota; Gammaproteobacteria; Chromatiales; Ectothiorhodospiraceae
Source: Rfam
CUCCAUGCGGGCGGCUGUGUGCGGGCGUCUUCGGACGCGCCAGCCCAAUGACUGGUAGGUCAACCCAUACAGUCGCCUGCGCCCUU